CAGCCAUAAUGAUUUAGGAUAUUUCAAUUGUUGGUGAGUGAAUUCUUCGAUGCAUACUCUGCAAGUGACAUAAUUUAACAAUCUUAAACAAAAUAUUUGAAGAUGCCAGCCUAUUUGAAGAUCAUGUUCAUUGAAAUAGUUUUUGUCAUUGCUGGAUAUUCAAUUGUUUCAAGUGUUCCUAUUGUAUCUGAGAAAAAUAUUUGCAAUGAAUGCGAACCUCUCAUUGAGGAUGGCAACACAGCAAGCUUUUCAGUAAGAU
Xenia sp. Carnegie-2017 is the source of this 259-nucleotide long non-coding RNA. RefSeq lists it as uncharacterized. The transcript is spliced from 3 exons. The record is from RefSeq and is a predicted model, not a curated record. Lineage: Eukaryota; Metazoa; Cnidaria; Anthozoa; Malacalcyonacea; Xeniidae.